UACGUAGGGGGCAAGCGUUGUCCGGAAUCAUUGGGCGUAAAGCGCGUGUAGGCGGCUUGGUAAGUCCGCUCUGAAAGCCCGGGGCUCAACCCCGGGAGGCGGGUGGAUACUGUCAAGCUUGAGUCCGGAAGAGGCGAGUGGAAUUCCCGGUGUAGCGGUGAAAUGCGCAGAUAUCAGGAGGAACACCGAUAGCGAAGGCAGCUCGCUGGGACGGUACUGACGCUGAGGCGCGAAAGCGUGGGGAGCGAACAGG
Molecule: ribosomal RNA, 253 nt
Filed under: uncultured bacterium
Lineage: Bacteria
Description: partial 16S ribosomal RNA
Rfam family: Bacterial small subunit ribosomal RNA
Source: RNAcentral